This is a long non-coding RNA of Coturnix japonica (Japanese quail), 3930 nucleotides long. RefSeq lists it as uncharacterized. Lineage: Eukaryota; Metazoa; Chordata; Aves; Galliformes; Phasianidae. The record is from RefSeq and is a predicted model, not a curated record.
UGACUGCAUGGAAAUUCAAAGCAUGCUUUUACAUUACUUUGAGAUUAGACUUUUCUAACCAAAAUGAAAAUUAAUUUUACAGCUUUCCUAGCUUUUGGAAAUGAAACUACCAGUAGUGCUUCAAAACACACAGCAUCUAUUCUAGGGGAGAACUCCUGCAGUGCCUUGUGGUUCCUCUCCUGUGGUGGACAAUGCUGCUCUUUGUGUCCCUUCAUUCUACAGUAAUGGAAAGAAGGCCAAGAUACAGAUUUUACACAGUCCUUCUGUGAGUGGAAGAAGUUCUGUGGGCUGGGAUCCAGAGUAAGUGGCAGCACACUGCCAAAAUGAGCAGAAACCCACAUGCCAGCAAGAUCCUGAGGGGCUGGGAAAAACUAAUCAGUGGAUUACCUCAGGAAAAUACCACCCCAGUAGCUGAGAAAGGUGAUGGAGAAGAAGCCAGAGAAAUGAAAGGCAUCAACUCUACCAAAGGAGAUUCUGAAAAAUCAAAGCUCAGGAAACAUAAACUGCAAAGAGAAUGGAAAACUCCAGCUGUACGGAAGAGAGCAUGAAAAGAACACUGAUGACUUACAGAUAUCAUUAUGGAAGCAGCAGUGUAAAAUAAAAAUAGUCUUGUAACAUGCAUAUUUGAUUAACAAAGUGAUCUUGUACUUCAGUUGUAAUAAACUAACAGACGUAUCUCACUUGCCUAAGCAGUACUCAGGACUCAUCACUACCCAUGGAACAAUUGUAGGUUCUGUAGUAAGAUAAUGAAAACUCAGAUGGUCUCUCAGUAUUAAAAUUUAAAUAGCUAUCAAAGCAUAUAUUUAAAUAUAUUGUAAAAUGGGUUGCUACUACCUACUACGUAUCUCAUAUAGUCUUUAACAACUAAAAUAAAAGGUUUCCGAUCACUCGAUUAAGUAACUUUAGUCCAUGUCCUCUCAGUGAUUCUAAACAAUAACAAUCAAAACUGUGUCUCAGUCAUAAAGCUCAUUGUACAGACAAUGAUCAAGGAAAUCUGCCUUUGAAAUACUUCUAUGAAGCUAAUAAUUGCAAAAGAACUUAUUGAAGUCGUUUCCUCCUAUUCUAAUGUUAGACAGUGUUACUGAAAUUUGUUUCCAGCUCUUUCAGGGACAAGUCUACCAGAUAUGACCAGAUACAACACAUAUGCUUAUGUGCAGUCUUCCUGAAUUCUUGUAAUCUGUACCUUUUCUUUGAACAUAAAAUGCAGAACAUUUCCUUCCAUGAUCACAGUUUUACCCAUUUAUUUUAAUACAACUUCUAACAAGUGAAUGGAAUUUUUAAAAAUUACGUUGAUAAAAUAAGUGUAUUGUUUAUUAAAAAGAAAAAAAAAGUUUGGAAUCAGGCAUUUGUGUUUAUCAGAAAGUAUGACAGAUAUGGGCUAUUUCAUUCCUUUAAAUAGAUGAAGAAUAAAAAAGAGAAAACUGAAAAAGUCUUAGUGGGGUUGUUCUCUAGCAUAAAGAGUUAAAGUCAGUUUGUGCUGGACAUACAUUGGUCUUGCUUGCGAUCAUCGUCCACCUGGGUAAUGUGAGCCAAUGCAAUUUUUUGCAUUACAGAAUGAUGUAAGGAAGUAUACAACACAGACCAAUGUUUGCUUGCUUCAGAAUGUUUACUUGCCUCACUGGGUCAGGAGGUUAUGCAGACUGGAGCCAAAACCUGUAAUUUGAAAGGAUAAAGCUGGUAAAGAUACUUAUAGGAUAUGCAUGAGAUAUUACAGCACCAGUAUCCAACAGUGAGGAUAUUUUGUUGAGCAUAUUUAUGCAUCUCUUUCCAUUGUUCACUCUGAUAAUUGCUGAAAGGCUGUGAUAAUUAUGGGGAAGUUACAUUACACUUGUUUAAUGAGAAAAAGAUUUUGCAUAGGUAGCUUUUAGGCUACUUACUGUGCACAAAAGCUGAUGCCUUUUGUUCUGGGGAAACUAGGAGUUCUGGAAUGUAAAAAUAAAAUAAAAUAGAGAAGGCCUUUGUAGGAGAGCUGCAGGAAUCUUUCUCUACUGACUGAUUAGUAGAACAUUAAAAGAAAUUCAGGUACUGAGAUGUGGUAGGAUACUGGCAGGCUGAAAAUGGUAGCAGUAAAUGGAAAUAGUAAGCUCAUACUGUUCAAUACAAAUUAUAAAAUCAUUUAUUCUGAACCUCUGGACACUGUAAAUUAUUUAUUUUCACCCAGUUACCCUUCAGAAACUUAGUUCAUAGUGCUUGAUGAAGAACUGGAUGUCUUUGACCAAAGCACAGUUUCUGAUAUACACUCAGUAUGUAUUUCUUUGAAUGAGAAAUGAGUACUUUUAUGAUGACCUUUUUUUUUCCUUCUUUUUUUUUUUUUUUCCUUCUGUUUUUCCUAUUGAUCCAGUCCAUCUAGCUGUUAAAAAUGUGGUGUUUCUUUUUUUUCCUUUUGUGUUUUUCUGGCUCUACUCCAGUUUCUAGGCAUUGUUUCUAUUUCUUUCUCCACAAGAUUAAAAAAAAACUUUUCUGAUGAGGAAAUGGCUAGGGAGCACAAUCUAGCAGUGCGAACACUGAAAAUGUCUUUGUCUAUUAUAUUCACAGUGCAGAAAGAAUGUAUUUUUGAGUCAUGAUAAUAUCUUCCACAUCAACAGAACUAUUCAUCAAAGGAGGCCUCUAUCUUGUAUUCAUGUUUGUCUUCACCUUGGCACUUAACUCUAAUCAAAUGAUUGAGAGCUGUAAGUAUUUUAGCGUUUUUACUUUUUUUAAUGAACACCAGAAUGGUAGUUUUUACUAUAACUUUUCAAAAUGUGGACCCCUAAAUUCAAUAAAGCAAUUUGCCAGCAACUUCACAAUGUACACACAUUUCCAGCCAACUGCAGUGAAAAAAAUUGCUACACUUUGAAAGAUUCUUCCUCAUUGUUCACAUGAGACUGUGGUAAACUUUGUGCAAAUUAAUUUUUAUUUCAUAUCUCUUCUAGAUCACUGAUGAAAAUAUUGAGUAGCGUUAGAAUUAAUGUAGUGGGUAUAGUACCCCAAUGGCUUCACUGGAUGAUGAUGCUGUAUUAGUUCCUGUGGUUUAUCCACCUACUCUGGAAUUUCCUAGCCAAUCCUUCAUGUGUCUAAAUGAUAAUGCUGGCUUGACAAAUACAAUGUUAAACAGAACUCAAUUACUUAGGAAAAAAUUGUGCAGAUGACCUCGUCUACUUAGUUAUCGUUAUCAAUCGACAAUUGUCAUGAGACUUGUCUCACUCCUGAUGAAAGCUCCAUGUUGAAUCAUUUUCAUUUUGGUUAUCAUCACCCAUUCAGAUCCUUUGCACACUCUUCAAUUAGUUCCUGGGCAACACAGAUGAAUGAAAAUAUUCCCCUCAUUAUAUACCUCUUACUGCUUCUCCUUCUAAAUUAUUCUGAAUCUGUCAGACUACCCUUCCUCUUCUGCAGAUGAAAUAAUUCAUUAACCUUUUAUCUUUUUAGGCUUUAUGUGGAAUAUAUUCUUAUAAAGGCAAGGUUUGGAAAUUAUUUUUUUUAACAUAUUUACUAAGCUUAACUGAGAUAACACUUUAAGGGAAAAAAGAUCUAGAAGGAUCAUAAUGGAAGGAGAAAAAAAGAUAUUAAAAAAAGAAAAACAAACAAAACUUUUUUUAGGAAUUGUUUUUGGAAUACAGUUUGAUAAGUUAUAAUCAAAGUUACUGAUACGAUGCAUAAGCCUUUCUUUGUGCAUAGUUGUAAAAGAAUAAAAAGGAUAUAUUAUGUAAGCAUACAUGAAAAUGUGUAAUUCAGGUAUCAUUGAGAUGGAAUGCCUUGAGAUUUUCAAUUUAAAACAGGAUUGAAUUCUCUGUUUUAUGCUUUCACAGUGAAAACUACACUAUUUCAUUUACCACAUUUAGUGCUAAGGGUGUAACUGAAUUUAAUGAGUAAUUCUUUACCACAUUAUUUUUCAACCUUGCUAAGUUUCCAAGAAAACAUAUAAAAAUAUAUAUAUAUAUGUUUUAUAAUUCA